AUUGGUCUGCUAAUUCGAAAUUUGUAGUUUGUAGUCUAGCAGACCAUAUCUCAUCAAAAUACAUUG
This is a non-coding RNA of Caenorhabditis elegans, 66 nucleotides long. Lineage: Eukaryota; Metazoa; Nematoda; Chromadorea; Rhabditida; Rhabditidae. The record is from Ensembl.